Equus caballus (horse) is the source of this 1599-nucleotide long non-coding RNA. The record is from Ensembl. Lineage: Eukaryota; Metazoa; Chordata; Mammalia; Perissodactyla; Equidae.
GUAUUUUAUUGAGGUCACAUUGGCUUAUAACAUUGUGUGAAUUUCAGGUUACAUUAUUGUAUAUCAGUUUGUGUAGAGACUGCAUCAUAUUCACCGCCAACAGUCUAGUUUCCAACUGUCACGGUACCCAUGCGCCCCUUUACUCCUUUCACCCUCAUCCCACCCCCUUCUCCUCUGGUGACCACCCAUGUGUUCUCUUUGUCCAUGUGUUUGUUUAUCUUCCACACGUGAGUGAAAUCAUACUCAGGUGAUGUGCUAUUCAUCUUCCUCUGACUUGUUUUGCUUAGCACAAUGCCCACAAGCUUCAUCCAUCUUAUUGCAAAUGGCAAGAUUUUGUCUUUUUUUAUGGCAGCUUUGAAAAUGUACUACAUUUGUCCUAAGAAUAGCCUUUUCGGGGGUGGGUUAGGUAGAGUGGCAACUACUCAAAUGCGGUUCAUGUUCCUUCCACCCGAAGUGAGAUGUAGGCAUUUUUGGAAAGAAAAAUAACAUUCCCAUUGACUUCAAAGAAAAGAGUGUCACUAACAGUGAGACAAAGAAAUGGAACUUGGAUAUAAAGCUGCUCCGAGACUUGCUUGUCAUUGUGAACAGUGCUUCUGCCCUGGGUGUUGGGCCCAUAGUGCAUCUCAGUGCAACUGCGAUCGUAAAUGAAUCUAACAAUGGGGGAAAUUCUUCCUGACAAGGGUUUGCUUAUUUAACUUGCAUAAAUUUACAGAACACAAAAGGUCCUUUCAUAGCAAGACAAUAAAUAAAAGUAAAAAAGGUCUUUAGCCAUCAAUGCAUGGUACAUUAUUCUACUUAUGCAUUUAAUUUUCAGCAGUCCAGACUGUCAGGCAUAAGAAUAUAGCAGAAAUGGCAUGUAAUAUGCACACAAUGAAAAGACGUUUCAGGCACUGAGCUUGUGUGAAACAAUUUCAGAAAAACAGAAAAGUUAGUAACUGAUUCCAUUUUCAGUUUGCUCACUAUGCGAAUUUGUCUCCAGCAACUGGGCUGUCUCCUGUUUUCAUAGUUCUCCUGGUUCACAUUAAUAGCAGGGUCUUUUGAAAUUAUCGAUUUGUGAUGUGACAGAGAGGAGAAUAUCAAAUUACAGCCCUUGAUUUCACACGAGUGACUUCUAGGUCACAGAAAGAGAAAUGGGGAGGGUUGCAAGAAAGUUACCAACGGGUGAAUGCAAUUUCAGCAAAUGCUACCAGAGACUGGGCCACCUGCCUAGUGGCAGCAUUGCUUCUGGCAGCAGCACUUCUGCUGGCAACAGCCCUUCCCACAGCCGCACGAGCCACAUGAGCCACAAGAGCCACAGCCACAGGAGCGGCGGCAGCAGCAGACCACGGGGACACUGCAGCAGCCCCCACAGCAGCCACAGCAGCAGGGGCAGCAGCCGGAGCAGCAGCCGACCCGGUAGCAUCUGCAGGUGGUGCAGCUGCCGCAGCCACCACCACAACCACCACCGCAGCCGCCACUGCAGCCACCACAGCCACCACCGCAGCCACCACCGCAGCCACCACAGCCACCGCAGCCACCACAGCUUCCACAGCCACAGCACCCCAUGGUGUCAGUAGAGAGGACUCAGGAGAGGUGAGGAGGGAUGUGCAGGAGGUGAGG